UGGGAUAUCGCCAAGCGGUAAGGCGUUAGAUUCUGAAUCUAACAUGCGGUGGUUCGAAUCCAUCUAUCCCAGCCA
This 75-nucleotide transfer RNA is filed under the name Mycoplasmataceae bacterium. RNAcentral describes it as "tRNA-Gln". It matches the Rfam family "tRNA". Rfam says of the family: Transfer RNA (tRNA) molecules are approximately 80 nucleotides in length. Their secondary structure includes four short double-helical elements and three loops (D, anti-codon, and T loops). Further hydrogen bonds mediate the characteristic L-shaped molecular structure. tRNAs have two regions of fundamental functional importance: the anti-codon, which is responsible for specific mRNA codon recognition, and the 3' end, to which the tRNAs corresponding amino acid is attached (by aminoacyl-tRNA synthetases). tRNAs cope with the degeneracy of the genetic code in two manners: having more than one tRNA (with a specific anti-codon) for a particular amino acid; and 'wobble' base-pairing, i.e. permitting non-standard base-pairing at the 3rd anti-codon position. Lineage: Bacteria; Bacillati; Mycoplasmatota; Mollicutes; Mycoplasmatales; Mycoplasmataceae. The record is from RNAcentral.